Molecule: long non-coding RNA, 1485 nt
Organism: Populus euphratica (Euphrates poplar)
Lineage: Eukaryota; Viridiplantae; Streptophyta; Magnoliopsida; Malpighiales; Salicaceae
Exons: 2
Source: RefSeq, a predicted model, not a curated record
UUUAAAUAUAUUAUUAACAAAUAAAAAGACGAUGUUGCUGAGUUAGAAUUGACAAUGGUAGGAUUUGAGAAUUUCUUGAUAAAUUAACUAACCUUCUGAAGUUUCAUCUGACCCAUAAUCCAAGAUUUGCUCCAGAUCAACCUUGGAUAGGGUUCAAAAACCAUGGUGAAAAGUAAAAGGAACGUAACAGAGAGACGAGAGUCGUGUGUGGACCAGCCAUUGAAUUAAUAUUGAUGUAAAGCAAAAACUGGAAUUUCCUCGAACAAUCAAUGGGACAAUAAGCCAAAUAAAAAAGACUUUAUUACAUGAAAAUCAUGUGAUGACGACGACCAAUUCCAUACAAACCACAGGCUCGAUAGUGUGGAAUUGAAUUCCAGUGCCAUACAAGUGGGCUGUCUAAUACAAUUUACUUUCUCAACUUUUUCAUCGCAAAAGACAACAGUUAAUUGCUACUACAGCAACAACAAUCAUAAGAUCGAGUGUGUUGAUUCGUCUUGCAGUAUAAAGAGCAGUUUGUACAAAGCCAGCGGUAUACAAUUCAAAUGGGUUAAGCAGCUUCUCCAUAGCAGUAAUAAAGCUGAUCUUCAUGGUUUUAUUACUAGGGUGGUGGUGUCAUUUGUGUUUGGAGGAAGAGAGAAUUGCUCCAUUGGAAAUAAAAAAAUUUCCUUUUAACUACCCCUUCCAAUCCCAUGACGCCCUUAUGCACAAAUCUUCCAAUUCCCAACCCCUUGUUAAAGAAAGAUCGAGCGUGUUGAUUCGUCUUGUAGUAUAAAGAGCAGCUUGUACAAAGCCAGCUUUGUAUACAACCAAAAUUCCUCUAACUACCCAAACGGCGGCGAACACCUGCAAUCUUGGGGAAAAGAAGCCGGCAGUUGUAAUUGGGAAGGUAUUUCCAAUAGAGCAAUUCUCUCAUCCUCCAAACACAAAUGACACCACCACCCUAGUAAUAAAACCAUGAAUAUCAGCUUUAUCACUACUACAGAGAACCUGUUUAACCCAUUUGAAAUACUUGAUGAAUUAUAUUGUAUACCACUGGCUUUGCGCACUGAAGGGCUGCUCUUUAUAGGAGAAGAGCGCAGCACUGUACCCUACAGCCAGCGACGUUGCGUGUUCAUAUUAGGAAGGGCCCAUAUUGCGGGGAGGAAAAACAAGAUAACAAACAAGGAGAAGAGAAAGGAAGUGCUCCAUGUCUUGCUUAAUAUACAGUAUUUUAUUUUAUUUUUGUACUUCCAUUUACAGAUAGCAAGCCUGAGUGAUAAUACCUUAUGAUUGUUGUUGCUGUAGUAGCAGAUCGAUUUAAUUAACUGCUGUCUUUUACGAUGUAAAAGUUUAGUGUUCGUUCAUGAAUUGUAUUGAACUGCCCACUUCCAUGGCACUGGAAUUCAAUUCCACGCUAUCGACCCUGUGGUUUGGAUGGAAUUCGUCGUCGUCGUCACAUGAUUUUCCACAUAUAAUAAAGUCUUCUUUAUUUGGCUUAUUGUCCCA